AACAAAACUGCCUAGUUUCUUAGCUUGACCCAUGGAGACUCUGCUUUUCAUAAUAACACUGCUUAAGGAUACCAGAUCUUUUUAAAGCUGUUUUGAAGAUCAAAAAACCAUCUUUAGAGUUCAUUACUAUUAGCAAAACCUCAGUAACAAAAGUCUGAUCUUUGGUGGUGGAGAUGAGGGGGCAGAUGUGGAGAGAGAGGGAAAGGACGGUUAUUUACCGAGUUCUAAUUGCCGAGCACUGUGUCAGGGCUUCACCUGUUGCUUUCCCCAUCAACCACAUAUAGUUUAAAAGUGGGUCUUCAGAGCUCCAGGUCAAACAGCAGGCUCUUUAUUUCCAUUUCAGGAAUCCCCGUUGCCUCCUUUAAGAGACAAGAAGACCCACAAAUCCUGUCUCGCUGUUCCUAAGGUACAGAAACUGAAGUCAUUUUUCUCUUCCUUUCUUGGAAAAAUGCUGUUAUGUCUGCAGAGCAUAAGUCUGUAAAAACACAAAAAUUAAUAUAUCAUAUCCAUCUUCAAAGUAGCCAUAUUUGGGAAUAGGGAAACUACAGUGAGUAUUUUUCCUGCAGCAAAUCAGAGGCUAAUCCAGACGCCCAAGCCCCAGAAUGCACCUGUGUUCGGCAGCUGUAUCUGGGGAAGUCACCCAGCAUGAUCUACUGUGCUGGCUCUUUCCAAGAGGAGCCUCAGAAGGAAGGAGAAAAAUGUCUGAGGGCUCGUCUGGGGAGAAAUAAAAGAAAUAAUUGUUCUAAAAAAAAGGAGAAAUUGGUAUUUCACCGGCAGCCUAAGAUGCACAGAAGCACUUUAAACUCCUGUGGCUGGCAUCCGUCAUCUGAAAAUCACCAACUUGUUUAAAAAUCCCUCACCGGGGGAUUGUGCUGCUGCUGCCAGGCAGCCUGAAACCGAGUGUGUCUAGAUACUCAUAUGUCCUCGACGGGGGCCCUGGGGGACUCUGGUGUGCUGCGGCCUGAAUGCCUCUUGCCAACAUUCGUAUGGGAACGGCAGAACAAGAAACUCGAUUUCAGCACAAGUCAGCUGCUAUGGAGAAGGAGCCACGUGGAAGUGAGGUUUCGCCAUCAAGGUUUCAAUGAGCCCCAGGUGUACGGCAAAGGGGGAGGAUAUUUGCCCCAGACAAGGUCCCCUAUUGCAGUGCACACUGUUCCCGGUUCUGGCUUUCUUAACACAGAGACAAAAUGAUCCUGCCUGGAAACAACGCAAGUGUUGUGAUACACAGAGCUGUGGGGUGAUGGAAAUCAAACUAACAGUGGUUUAAGCCUUGAUGAAACUGAGCUAUGAUGAAACAUGGCACGAGGUGGUUUGGGAAGGGCUGCACAGGGGAAGAUGGAGCACAGCAACAGUGGGCUGAAGAUCUUUGCGUGUCUAGUCUGCUGCUGCUGCUGCUAAGUCGCUUCAGUCGUGUCCGACUCUGUGUGACCUCAUAGACAGCAGCCCAUUAGGCUCCUCUGUCCCUGGGAUUCUCCAGCUAAAGUGACUUGACUGAUCCAAGCAGGAUUUCUCAGUCAGAAAAGUAUAUGAGGGUCACCUCAACUAGACAGCUGCACAUGGAUCGAAGCCAAAAUGAGAGCCCGGAUGGGGGUCUCCACGUGAGAUACAGAUGAAAGAGGAGAGAGUUGAGAAAAACAAAACAAGCAGACCAGCACUGAGAAUAGGAAAAAGCUGCGUUUGUACCAGCCUCCCUAGUGAGAUGCUGUGAGCUCCUGGACAGUAAACAUCUCAUCUAUCCCAUCUUCUCUCAGUACCUCACACACAGCUUUUCAUACAGCAAGAGCUUUUCAUACAGCAAGAGCUCAAAAAAAAAAAAAAAAAAAAAGGUUGGAUUAAUUUGAAUCAGUUCCAGAAGUCUUUACAUGUAAAAGCUAUUUAUGAAUGUUCCUUAUGACUUGAAAAUGGAGAGGCUAUAACUUAAACCCAUGUACCAUUAGAGAGUGAACCCCCUAAUUAGCUCAAAAAAGUGGACACCAAAUAUGGACAAAGAGGCAGAGAAAGACUAAUAAAAUACUGAAUAGGACUGUCCUAACUGCAACAACAUUACUUUGCCAACAAAGUUUCGUCUAGUCAAGGCUAUGGUUUUUCCUGUGGUCAUGUAUGGAUGUGAGAGUUGGACUGUAAAGAAAGCUGAACACCAAAGAGUUGAUGCUUUUGAACUGUGGUGUUGGAGAAGACUCUUGAGAGUCCCUUGGACUGCAAGGACGUCCAACCAGUCUAUCCUAAAAGAGAUCAGUCCUGGGUGUUCAUUCGACAGACUGAUGCUGAAGCUGAAACUCCAAUACUUUGGCCACCUGAUGUGAAGAGUUGACUCAUUGGAAAAGACCCUGAUGCUGGGAGGGAUUGGGGGCAGGAGGAGAAGGGGACGACAGAGGAUGAGAUGGCUGGAUGGCAUCACCGACUUGAUGGACAUGAGUUUGGGUAGACUCCAGGAGUUGGUGAUGGACAGGGAGACCUGACGUGCUGUGAUUCAUGGGGUCGCAAAGAGUCAGACACGACUGAGCGAUUGAACUGAACUGAACUGAAUUGCAACAAUACAACAUUGUUCCUGUGGAGGCUGCCAACUAUGACUGCAUUUGGUCAGAGAGGAACAGGCCCCCCGUUCCUGCCAGUAUCUGUAGGUGGCCUCUUAAAAACUUGGAGUGGAAUAGAUGAGGCAAAGAUUUAGUCUGUCUCAGACUGGGCAGUUUCUCAGCCUUAGUGUAUUCUUGGCCACU
Molecule: long non-coding RNA, 2717 nt
Organism: Bos taurus (domestic cattle)
Lineage: Eukaryota; Metazoa; Chordata; Mammalia; Artiodactyla; Bovidae
Source: Ensembl